Molecule: long non-coding RNA, 885 nt
Organism: Gallus gallus (chicken)
Lineage: Eukaryota; Metazoa; Chordata; Aves; Galliformes; Phasianidae
Source: Ensembl
GGCGUGGGGAAGGGAGAGCAAGGGAGGCUGCAGAGGGAAGAGAGCUGCAUCCGACUGGGCUCCAGGCAAGAUCUCAAAGCUCUCAGAGUGAGAACCUCUCACAACCCACAACUGCCAGUCCUGCUCUGCACACCGCACAGCUGGGACACUUAGGGAAGGAGCACGGGAGGCCCACACACUCCUGGAGCAAUGGGGCAAGGAGCCAGGACGUCACCACUGAGCUUUAAACUCCCUUUGCACUACAUGGUCUGACUCCCUCACACCUCCUUCUUGAUCCUCAGCCUAUGGCAGCCUCUCAGGCUUGUUUGCAUUGGUGCACCUCAGUGCACCCAGAGCCCUUCAGGAGCCCUGGCUCUGCCACCAAAGCAGGGCCAAAGGUCUCAGCCCGCCCAGAAACCAGAGCCGAGUCAUUCCAGAGUGUUCCUGUUCAGCAACAAGGAAGAACUCCUCAGUUCGAGCUCCUGGUGGAAAGCCACUCCCCUCCUUUCCCAUUUCAUCCCAGAUGUGGCCAUUUUGGAAGGCAGCAACCUGAGCUGGAUUUCCUCUGAACUCCAUCUGCUCUGAAACACAGCCGGUGACCCAUGAAUAACUGCGUGUGCAUUUGGGGAAAGAGGGAGAAACUCUGAGAAGACUUGUGAGCUUCCAGAGGAGACUGCUGCAGCGCCCGUCGGGACGCGGUGUCCGGCGCCCGUCGCUCCCGGAUCGCCCGCAGCUCGUUCAUACCGUCGCCUGGCAACCGCCGCCCCGUCGCCAUGGGCUCUGAGCGGGACUCCGAAUCGCCGCGCUCCUCCUCCAUCCACUCGGCCGCCGCCAAGUGCCCGAAGCCCGGCCGCCGCCGCCGCCUCUCCUUCCAGAGCGUCUUCUCCGCCGCCGCCGCCUCCGCCG